RNAcentral lists this transfer RNA (89 nucleotides) under Trichodelitschia bisporula. It matches the Rfam family "tRNA". From Rfam's summary of the family: Transfer RNA (tRNA) molecules are approximately 80 nucleotides in length. Lineage: Eukaryota; Fungi; Ascomycota; Dothideomycetes; Phaeotrichales; Phaeotrichaceae. The record is from Rfam by way of RNAcentral.
GGUCGAUUAGCUCAGUUGGUUAGAGCGUGGUGCUAAUAUGAGUCUUCAUGUAUACGCCAAGGUCGCGGGUUCGACCCCCGUAUUGACCA